GAAAAUGAUGUUUGCAUCUAUUAGAACUUGAUUAGAAAAAACUGAAUUGGAACAAGGAUUUUGUUUGUCUAGCCUGUUUUAAGGCGGGUUGUAGGACAUUCAUUGGGCUAAAUGGUUGGUUUUUGAAGGGUUAUUUUUUAGGCCAGUCGCUCUCUCAAGUUGGUCAAGAUUUCAACUAUUAAAUCUUUGUAUUCGCUUUUUCCAUUAUUGAUGUUGGGAACAAUGAUAACUCGAUGGGGG
Molecule: long non-coding RNA, 240 nt
Filed under: Trifolium pratense (red clover)
Lineage: Eukaryota; Viridiplantae; Streptophyta; Magnoliopsida; Fabales; Fabaceae
Description: long non-coding RNA (TPRA_LNC009020)
Source: RNAcentral